Molecule: long non-coding RNA, 16571 nt
Organism: Triticum aestivum (bread wheat)
Lineage: Eukaryota; Viridiplantae; Streptophyta; Magnoliopsida; Poales; Poaceae
Exons: 11
Source: RefSeq, a predicted model, not a curated record
AGCGUUCCCCUCCUCUCCUCUCAUCUCGUCUCGUCUGAGGCCGCGGAUUCCGGCGAUUGAAUUGCGUGUGCUUGCUUUUCUCCCUCCUCAACCUCCCAUGUGGAGGCCUGCUGUGCGGCCUUAGGUCUUGAUUCUAGCUGUGAGUAAUACUAGACGAACACAAUCUGAUUGUAGCCGUGAGUAAUCCUAGUUGAACAGACAUGAAGCGUUUGCAUUCAGGCAAACUAUUUUGUGAGGAAAUCUGAAACCUACACAAUGCUUCUCCAGUGAAAAACUUCCGUCUGCGUCCAGCAUAGUGCACGGAGUGAAAAAAUCCACAAAAGUAAAUCAUGUCUGUGGGUAAUCCUAGUCUUAUUCCUUCCUGAACAGCGUUGCUUCAGUUGAUCAAGUACUUCAAAACUGGCAUGUGAUAUCUAUCAUUCAUAACUGUUUCUGUCUUUGCCUCAUUGAUCUGUCAAGCCGGUGAUUCUUGAUUACUUCACCAGCAAGACAAUUUGUUCGAAUGACUUGGUGGUGGUUUCGCCCGAUGUUGGUGGCGUUGCCAGAGCACACACUUUUGCCAAAAAGCAGAUGCACCUCUAACAAUUGUAGACAAAAGAAGGCAUGGACACAAUGUUGCCGAGGCAACAAGUAGUAUUAUAGCUGGAUUAAUGGGCGCGAGUGGAAGAACGGCUUAACUUGUUUUACAUUCUUGUCCACAGUGGGUAUAUGAGCAGCUAACUAGGAUGCAUAGUAAGAAAAUACUCAUCGAGGCUCUUUUGUAGUUGGUUACGGUUUAUCCACUGCUAGUCAAUCUGCUGGAAAUGUAUAUUGCAUAUGGAGAUGUGCUGCUUCACAAGGUAAUGAAUCUGAUUGGAGAUGUUAAGAGGAAAAGUGUCUGUUGUGAUGGAUGAUAUGAUUGAUACAGCAGGAACUAUUGCCAAAGGAGAUGAGAUGCUGCAUCAAGGAGCAAGAGAAGUCUAUGCAUGCUGUACACAUGCUGUUUAGCCCACCCGCCAUCGAGAGAUUAUCAAGUGGUUUGUUUCAAGAAGUAAUCAUCACAAACACUAUCCCUUCGAAGAAGCAUUGAAGACUUUGCCGAGCGAGGCAAGCAACCUACUUUGAUCAUAUUGAGCCCAUAUUUGCAUUACACACUUAAAAUUAUUUUGCAUGCAUAAAGUAUUGUUUACUAGUAUUGCUAUGCUAAGUAAAUUAGCUGGGGUUUAGCUAUGCCCUAUGUGCUUGAUAUUGACACCCCCUUUGACAUUCUUAAAACCCCUCAUUUCUAACUGGAGGACCACAUACCCACUGGUCACAAAUAAAUGUGGGUCAUAGGUGCAAGUUUAAUAGUGCUUAGCCAUGCGAGUCAUAUAAAUCCUAGGACUUUGGAAGAAUCUUAGCACAUUACCCCAAUAUGGGACGAUGUUGAACAUAGUAUCUUGGUCUGUCUAGUGUACAUCCCUCGCUAGGUGGAUACCCUAUACACUGUGACGAGAAUGGACAAACAUCAAUCAUGGGAAAUUAUGUACCAUCAAGUGGACUCUAUACUUGCAUUGUACUUGAGAAAACUUUUGUUCGAUUGUUCAAGUUGUAUAGACCUAUCACCAAGAGACCUUCAAGAUGCAAAGGCUUGCAUCUUCAAUUGUACAAACUUCAACUUAGUCGGAGUUUCUCCUCUCUCUCAAGCUUAAGCCUUUCUCUAAACCAAACCUAACCCAAGAAACCCAGCCUAACUAUCAAGGAUGUGAUAGCAUGGACUUAUGCUGAUGUACUUAACUUAUGGAAUUGCAAGAGGACCCAUUAAGCACUAACAACUUCUGAUUGGAAUGAAGCCCUACAUGAGAUUGUGAUUUUGUGACUCUAUCAUGUUACACCCUUAAGCUCCCAAUGUAUGCACCAAGUUGGGUUGCCAUACAAAAAUGGUUUUUGUCAAUUAAAAGAUGAGGUAGUUUGAUGGUGAUGUAGAAGUGAUACUGAGGAGAUGGUAGUCAAAGAUAUACGGUGGAUUAUGAGAUUUUAGGGCUAGUAGGUGAGCGUGGCGAUUAUUAUAUUGAUGGACAUAUCUUUAAUUAAUCUUGAAACAAUUUAGAUUUAGUUUGGUGAUUGUUAUCUUGAAGCUAAUUGCAUGGUGGAUUAUGAGAUUUCAUGUGGAUUUGUUAGGUGAUUGUGAUCUUGAGGAGAUAGUUAAAAAUGUUUGGUGCAUUAUGAGAUUCUAGAGCUAGUAGGUGAGCAUGAUGAUUAUUAUAUUGUUGGAUAAACAUAUAUUUAAUUAAUCUGCGAACAAUUUGGCUUUGGUUAGGUGAUUGUGAUAUUUAACUAAAUUUCAUGGUGAUUAUGGGAUUUUAGUCUACUACGUGAGGAUGGUGAUUAUUAUAUUGUUGAAUAAUGAAUCUUCAAUUAGUAUUACAAGAAUGUAUUUAGUUAAGUCAUUAUGGUUUUGACCAAAUUUUAUGGAGCAUUAUGAGAUUUUAGGUGGAUUUAGUUAUGUGAUUGUGCUCUUGAGGAGAUAGUAAAAAAUGUUUGGUGGAUUAUGAGAUUUUAGGGCUAGUCGGUGAGCAUGAUGAUUAUUCUAUUUGUGGAUAAAUAUCUUUUAUUAAUAUUGGAGCAAUAUAAAUUUAGUUCGGUACUUGUGAUUUUGAACCAAAUUUCAUGGAGGAUUAUGAUAUCUUAGCCUGGAUUUAGUUAGGUGAUUGCAAUCUUGAGAAGAUAGUCAAAGAUGUUCGGUGGAUUAUGAGAUUUUAAGUCUAGUAUGAGCAUGACUAUAUUAUAUUGGUUGAUAAACAUACCUUCCAUUAAUCUUGGAACAAUUUGGAUUUCGUUAGGUGAUUGUCAUCUUGAAGCAAAUUUGAUGAUGUAUUAUGAGUUUUUGUGCCUCUACUUAGGUGAUUGUGAUCUUGAGGAGAUAGUCAAAGAUUUUUGAUGGAUUAUGAGAUUUUAGGUCUGGUAUGAGCAUGCCUACUAUUAUAUUGGUGAAUAAACAUAUUUUGAAUUAAUCUUGAAUUAAUUUGGAUUUUUUAUGUAAUUUUGAUCUUGAAGCAGAUUCGACAAUGGAUUAUGAAUUUUUGAUGGAUUUAAUUAGGUGCUUGUGAUCUUGAGGAGAUAGUCAAAAGUGUUCGGUGGAUUAUGAGAUUUUAUGUCUAGUACUUGGGAAUGGUGAUUAUUUUAUUGGUGGAUAAGCAAAUCUUCAAUUAAUCUUGGAACACUUUAGAUUUAGUUAGGUGAUUGUGAUUUUGAACCAACUUUCACAAUAGAUUAUGAUAUCUUAGCCUAGAUUUAAUUAGGUGAUUGUCAUCUUUAGAAGAUAGUCAAAUAUGUUCCAUGGAUUAUGAGAUUUUAGAUAUAGUAUGAGCAUUUCUACUAUUAUAUGAAUAAAUAAACAUAUCUUCAGUUAAUCUUGGAACAAUUUGGAUUUAUUUAGGUGAUUGUCAUCUUGAAGCAAAUUUGAUUAUGGAUUAUGAGGUUUUGAUGGAUUUAGUUAGGUGAUUGUGGUCUUGAAGCAAAUUUGACGAUGGAUUAUAUGUUUUUGAUAGAUUCAAUUGUGUGAUUGUGAUUUUGAGGAGAUGUUCUAAAAUGUUCGGUGGAUAGUCAAAUUUUAGGUCUAGUAUGUGAGAAUGGUGAUUAUAUUGGUGGAUAAACAAAUCUUCAAUUGAUUUUGAAACACUAUGGAUUUAGUUAAGAGCGACAGCUAGAUAGACAAGACUCCCAACAAGAUGACGAUAAAGCGUUAGAUCAUUAAGCUCCAUUAGUAGCACGGAGGUGAACAUUGAGCUCCAUGGGAGUCUCAACAGUGCGCUCAUCAGUAAGAGUAACAAGAGCAAGAAGAUCCUGGAUUAUUAACUUUGAGCAAGAAGAGACCCGAAACUCAAGAAAGUAGCAAAGAUGGCCAAAAUCAGACAUAAGAAACUCCUUACUAAGACGUGUCAUCACAAAGGUAAAAUAAUAUACCCAGGGUCUUUGCCCGUGAUGAUCAUGUCAUCAACAUAUAGAAGAAGACUCUUACCAAGAGCAGAAAGGUGGACAAACAACGUAGGAUCAUGAGUACUCGCUGAAAACCAGCAACAACCACCCCAGAGGCAAAACACUCAAACUAGGCACAAGGGGCUUGCUUAAAGACAUAGAGAGAGCGAUGAAGACAAUGAAGCAUGUCGUCCGGAGCAGAAUACCCAGGUGGUGGUUGCAUGUAAACCUCCUCAUGCAGCUCACCAUUAAGAAAGGCAUUCUUAACAUCAAGCCGAGACAGACCCGUGGCCAAUAGAGGCCACAACAAGAAGUGUGCGAGCAGUGGUCAUAUGGUUUGCACGAGCAAAAAGUCUCAUUGUAAUCAGGACUCAUAAUCUGCUGAAAGCUACGAGCCACAAGACGAGCUUUGUAACGCUCAAGAACCAUCAGAGCGAGUCAUAACAUUGUAGACCCACCAAGUGAUGGGACGAACACGAGGAGGAAGAGAAACAAUGUCCUACUUGCCGAUGUGCUCAAGAGCAGCAAUCUCCUUUGCUAUUGCAAGGUGCCACUUGGUAUGAACAACGUGAUGAUAAGAAAUCGGCUCAAGAACAACAGCCCAACGCUUGGAAGACCAAGGCGGUCAACAGACGAAAGCGAACGAGGAAGCAAGUCAUAAGUAGGCCGAGGCAGGGAAGAUGGCACAUCAGUAGACGCAUCCACAACAUGCGGAUGAUGUGUAUAAAAGUGAGGAAAAGAUGGAAGAAUACGAGCUGAAAUCAUCGGGAUAAACUAAGGUGAUGGAGACAAGGAAGCCACUGGUGAUGAUGGUGUAGAAUCCUGUGAUAAAUGAGGUGAGGAAAUCAUAGGAGAUGAUGGUGUUGGCUCUGCAAUAGUCGGAGAAGCAGGAGUAGUAUGACGAAUGGAUAAGGGCUCAACAGGAGUGAUAGGAGUGUCGGGAAAAUUGUGGAAAGAGUCCACUGAAAAGGUAGAGGAAGAUGGACGCGGGUAGUAGGGACGAGACUCAUCAAAAGUCAUAUCCCGAGAAAUAGUCAUCCUGCGACCAACAUGAUCCCAAUAGCGAUAUCCCUUAUGCUCAUAGUGGUAUUCUAAGAAGACACACACAACGGACUGAGCAGUCAGUUUGGUGCAUUCACGUGGGGCAAGGACAUAGCAAACACAACCAAACAUUUGAAGCGUUGAAUAAUCAGGAAAUGAUCAAAGUCGUGCCACCCUGCAGAGCAGUGGAUUGUCGAAGGUUGAUGAGAUAGAUGGAAGUGGAGACAGACUUGGCCCAAAAGUGCGAGGAAAGAGAGGCAAUGACCAUCAACGGACGAGCCGUCCCAAGAAGGUGACGAUGCUUGCACUCAGUCAUGCCAUUCUGAGCAUGUGCACCUGGAUAAGAGAACCGAAUGCAAGAGUACCCUGCUCAGCAAGGAUUCCACGCAACAGCUUGGGAUAUAUACCUCCCACCAUAGUCAUCACAGAACACACAAAUAGGCGUAGAGAACUGAGUAUGAACCAUGGCAGCAAAACGCUUAUAGAUAAGACCUCACUACGAGAAGAAAUAAAGUAUAUCCAGGUGUGUCGAGAGAAGUCACUAGUGAUGACCUCCUUUCGAGGCAAAGGGAGAUGGACCCCUGACAUAAGAGUGAACAAGGUGAAAAGGACGCCGAGACACUGUCUCGUUAUGAGUAAGGUAAUUGGACAUGUUUACAUAGCCAACAACCUUGACGGUUUAGAGACAUCGUCGGAGACGGAUCUAAGAAGGCCACGUCAAACUAAGGAUGAGAGAUCACAAGUGACCCAAGGCGAUGAUGCCACUACUGAAAAUAACUGGUAGACAAGGCAAUAGAGGCAGAGACUGGCGGCAGUGGCAAUAGAGGGACUUGAUCCUGCAUCCCACGUGCCCCGAUCCGGAUUGGUGUUCUUCUCCUGUUUGCGGCUUGUGGUUUAGAGACAUGUUUACAUAGCCGACAACCUUGACGGUUUAGAGACAUCGUCGGAGAUGGAUCCAAGAAGACCAUGUCAAACUAAGGAUGAGAGAUCACAAGUGGCCCAAGGCGAUGAUGCUACUACUGAAAAUAAUCGGUAGACAAGGCAACAGAGGCAGAGACUGGCGGCGGUGGCAACAGAGGGACUUGAUCUAGCAUCCCACGUGCCUGUGCACUCUCCGUACCCUUCCGAUCCGGAUUGGUGUUCUUCUCCUGUUUGCAGGUUGUGGGUCACGCACUUGAUUAAGCACCCCAGGUUCUCCUACUGUGCGCCCUUGGCCCCGGCUUUAGGUAGCGCCUUGUCCUCGGCUCGCCGUGCAUAAUCCAGGUACGCGUCGACUGUCCGAGCUCCUGCUCACCAUUGGUGGUGCUCGAGCGUGUGGUUAUGGUGUCGCACAACAAGGGAACACGGGAUGUGGGAUUGAGACAGCACCCUUAGCAACCCGCAGCAAGGCAAAGGAUGCCCAUCUAGACUGGCAGGGAAUGAAGGUGGACACAAAGGUGGAUGUUGACUUCAUAGAAGUCUCAAUAGUGCGCUCAUCGGUAAGAGUAGCACGAGCAAGAAGAUCUCAAGGAAGUACCAAAGCGAACCAAGACAAAGGUGGAUUAUGAGAUUUUAAGUAUAGUAUAUGAGCUUGGCUAUAUUAUAUCUUGAAGCAAAUUUGGCGAUGGAUUAUGAGUUUUUGGUGGAUCUACUUAGGUGAUUGUGAUCUUGUGCCAUAGUCAAAGAUGUUCAGUGGAUUAUGAGAUUUUAGGUCUAUCAUGAGCAUGACUACUAUUAUAUUAGUGGAUACACAUAUCUUCAAUUAAAAUCUUGAAAUAAUUUGGAUUUAGUUGCGUGACUUUAAUCUUGAAGCAAAUUUGACGAUGGAUUAUGAGUUUUUAAUAGAUUUAAUUAGGUGAUUGUGAUCUUGAGGAGAUAUUCUAAAAUGUUUGGUGGAUAAUGAGAUUUUAGGUCUAGUACGUGAGAAUGGUGAUUAUUAUAUUGGUGGAUAAACAAACCUUCAAUUAAUAUUGGAACACUUUGGGUUUAGUUAGGUUAUUGUGAUUUUUAAACCAAAUUUCAUGAUGGAUUAUGAUAUCUUAGGUGAUUGUCAUAUUGAGAAGAUAGUCAAAGAUGUUCCAUGGAUUAUGAGAUUUUUGAUAUAGUAUAAGCAUGUCUACUAUUAUAUGAAUAAAUAAACAUAUCUUCAGUUAAUCUUGGAAGAAUUUGGAUUUAUUUAGGUGAUUGUCACCUUGAAGCAAAAUGAUGGAUUAUGGGAUCUUGAUGGAUUUAGUUAGGUGAUUGUGAUCUUGAAUAGAUAGACAAAGAUUCAGUGGAUUUUGAGGUUUUGGGACUAAUAUAAGCAUGACUACUACUAUAUUUGUUGAUGAACAUAUUUUUAACUAAUCUUGAAUUUUUUGGAUUUAGUUAGGGGAUUAUGAUCUUGAAGCAAAUUUGAUGACGGGUUGAGUUUUUGAUAGUACGUGGUUGUGACUUUGAGGCAGGGAUGGCAGUUUUGCCCAUGGGUAUGGGUAUACGUGGGUACCCUACCCCAAAACAACGGGCAUGGGCAAGAGUGCAAGACUUGGCAAAAUUUUGUACCCAUGAGUAAUGGGUAUCCAUACCCGCAAAAUAUAUGGGUAGGGCAUGGAUAUUAGAUUGCGCCCAUGGGUAACCCAUUAGAUACCCAGAAAAAAAUAAUAAAUAAAAAUAACUCCUAUGACAUGUGGGGCCAACAUCCAACUCCUAUGGCCCAACUCUCAAUCCCUCAUCCCCUAAACCAACCAUAGCUCAUAGGCUCGCAACAACCAGCUUGCACUCCUAUGUCCUAUGUGACUCCUCGAAAUGAUGAAAUCUCAACUGAUCACCAACGCACACUUGGCCAAUUCUUGAAAUAGCAAUCCCCAGUUUUUGCUGCCGCCUCCCACUAUGUCGGGCUUCCACCAACCGCUUAUCGUACUCCCUUAUGCUUAGUCAAGUGAGGAUUCCAUUCGAAGUAACGUAACAGGAGCACCAUCUUCAAAACUUCUCGGGAUCCGGAGUUUUUCGAUAAAAGGUCCCAUCCUUCAAUAUCAUGAUUGGGUCAACCAGGCCAGAUCAUAAGUGAAAUAGUUUGAUCGGGUCGACCAGGUCAGGCCCGAUCACGAGUGAAUAGAAAAUCAAAAAACGUACAUAGCUGUUCCAGCGGAAAUACUUUGUUUAAUUCUACCACUUCUACUAGGAGUAGCCUUUUUAGUGCUAGCUGAACGUAAAGUAAUGGCUUUUGUGCAACGUCGAAAGGGUCCUGAUGUAGUGGGAUCGUUCGGAUUGUUACAACCUUUAGCAGAUGGUUUGAAAGAAUUAGCCGCCCACCUGAGGAGGUCGCAUCGGUACUGGACAGAUCGCCCAUUGAAUUUUACACUCAUUUCACUACUUAAAAACUUAAAUGCUCUAUGUUGUACCCAUUGGGUAUAGGGUAUCCGAUGGGUAUGGGCAUGGGUGUCAAUUUGUGCCCAUGGGUAUUGAAAUGGGUGGGUAUAGAAAGUUUCUAUGGGUAUGGGUUUGGGUAGGAGGCUGUACCCACGCAUACCCUACCCAUUGUCAUCCUUAACUUGAAAAAAUUGUCGAAAUGUUCGGUGGAUUAUGGGAUUUUAGGUCUAGUACAUUAGAAUGGUGGUUAUUUUGGUGUAUAAAUAGAUUUUCAAUUAAUUUUGGAACAAUUUGGAUUUAGUUAAGAGAUGGUCAAAGUUGUUUGGUGGAUUUAGUUUGGUGAUUGUGAUCUUUAGGAGAUUGUGAAAGAUGUUCGGUGGAUUAUGAGAUUUUAAGUCUAUAAUGAGCAUGGCUAUACUAUAUUGGUGGAUAAACAUAUCUUCCGUUAAUUUUAGAACAAUUUGGAUUUAGUUAGGUGAUGGUCACCUUGAUGCAAAUUUGACAAUGGAUUAUGAGUUUUUGGUGGAUCUACUUAUUAGGUGAUUGUGAUAAUAUGGAGAUAGUCAAAGAUGCUCGGUGGAUUAUGAAAUUUUGGUUCUAGUAUGAGCAUGACUACUAUUAUAUUAGUGGAUAAACAUAUUUUCAAUUAAUCUAGAGAUAAUUUGAAUUUAGGUAGGUGAUUGUGAUCUUAAAGCAAAUUUACCAGUGGUUUUAGUUAGGCGAUUGUGAUCUUGAGGAGAUAGUCAAAUAUGUUUGGUGGAUUAUGAGAUUUUUGGUCUAGUAUGAGCAUGCCUAAUAUUAUGUUGGUGGAUAAACAAUCAUUAAUUAAUGUUGAAAGAACUUCGAUUUAGUUAGGUGUUUAUCUUGAAACAAAUUUGGUGAUGGUUUAUGAGUUUUUACUGGAUUUAGUUAGGUCACUGUGAUUUUGAGGAGAUAGUCAAAGAUGUUCAGUGGAUUAUGAGAUUUUAGGGUUAGUAUGAGCAUGACUACUUUUAUGUUGGUGAUAAACAUAUCUUCAAUUAAUCUUGAAACAACUUGGAUUUAGUUAGGUGAUUAUCAUUUUCAAGCAAAUUUGAUGAUGGUUAUGAGUUUUUAGUGGAUUUAGUUAGGUCAUUGUGGUUUUGAGAAGAUAGUCAAAGAUGUUCAGUGGAUUAUGUGUUUUUGGUGGAUUUAGUUCGGUGAUUGUGAUCUUGAGGAAAUGGUUAAUGAUGCUCGGUGGCUUAUGAGAUUUUAAGUCUAGCAGGAGCAUGGCUAUAUUAUAUUGGUUGAUUAACAUAUCUUCCGUUAAUCUUGGAACAAUCUGGAUUUAGUUAGGUGAUUGUCAUCUUGUAGCAAAUUUGAUGAUGUAUUAUUAGUUUUUGAUGGAUCCACUUAGGCGAUUGUGAUCUUGAGGAGAUAUUCAAAAGAUGUUCCGUGGAUUAUGAGAUUUUUAGGUCUAGUAUGAGCAUGACUACUAUUAUAUUGGUGGAUAAACAUAUUUUCAAUUAAUCUUGGAAUAAUUAGGAUUUAGUCAUGUGAUUUUGAUUUUGAAACAAAUUUGACGAUGGAUUAUGAGUUUUUGAUGGAUUUAAUUAGGUGAUUGUGAUCUUGAGGAGAGAUUGAAAAAUGUUUGGUGGAUUAUGAGAUUUUAGGUCCAGUACGUGAGAACGGUGAUUAUUAUAUUGGUGGAUAAACAGAUCUUCAAUUAAUCUUGGAGCAUUUUGGAUUUAGUUAGGUGAUUGUGAUUUUUAAACCAAAUUUCAUGAUGGAUUAUGAUACCUUAGCCUGGAUUCAGUUAGGUGAUUCUCAUCACGAGAAGAUAGUCAAAGUUGCUCCAUGAAUUAUGAGAUUUUAGAUAUAAUAUAAGCAUGUCUACAUUAUAUGAAUAAAUGAACAUAUCUAGUUAAUCUUGGUACAAUUUGGAUUUAUUUAGGUGAUUGUCAUCUUGAAGCAAAUUUGAUGAUGGAUUAUGAGGUUUUGAUGGAUUUAGUUAGGUGAUUGUGAUCUCGAGUAGAUAGACAAAGAUGUUUGAUGGAUUAUGAGGUUUUAGGACUAGUAUGAGCAUGACUACUACUAUAUUGGUUGAUAAACAUAUUUUCAAUUAAUCUUGAAUUUCUGGAUUUAGUAAGGUGAUUGUCAUCUUGAAGCAAAUUUGACGAUGAGUUUUUGAUGGAUUCAAGUACGUGGUUGUGGUUUUGAGGAGAUGGUCAAAAAUGUUUGGUGGAUUAUGAGAUUUUAGGUCUAGUAUAUGAGAAUGGUGAUUAUGUUGGUGGAUAAACAUAUUUUCAAUUAAUUGGAACAUUUUGGAUUUAGUUAAGAGAUAGUCAAAGAUGUGUGGUGGAUUAUGAGUUUUUGGUGGAUUUAGUUUGAUGAUUAUGAUCUUUAGGAGAUAGUUAAACAUGUUCGAUGGAUUAUGAAAUUAUCAGUCUAGUAUGAGCAUGGCUAUAUUAUAUUGGUUGAUAAACACAUCUUUCGUUAUUCUUGGAACAAUUUGGAUUUAGUUAGGUGCUUGUCAUCUUGAAGCAAAUUUGACGAUGGAUUAUGAGUUUUUGGUGGAUCUACUUAGGUGAUUCUGAUCCUGAGGAGAUAGUCAAAGAUGUUAGGUGGAUUAUGAGAUUUUAGGUCUAGUAUGAGCAUGACUACUAUUAUAUUGGUGGAUAAACAUAUUUUCAAUUAAUCUUGAAAUAAUUUGGAUUUAGUUAUGUGAUUUUGAUCUUGAAGCAAAUUUGACGAUAGAUUAUGAGUUUUUGAUGGAUUUAAUUAGGCAAUUGUGAUCUUGAGGAUGUAGUAAAAAAUGUUCGGUGGAUUAUGAGAUUUGAUUAUUCUGUUAGAGGAUAAACAGUUUUUGAGAUUUAAUUUAAUUAUUCCUGGAACCAUUUGGAUUUAGUUAGGUGAUUGUCAUCUCAAACCCAAUUUCAUGGUGGAUUAUGAGAUUUUAGAUUUAAUACGUGUGAAUGGUGAAUAUUAUAUUGGUGGAUAAACAUAUCUCUAGUUAAUCUUGGAACACUUUGAUUUAGUUAGGACAUUGUGAUCUUUAAGCAAAUUUGUUAGUGAAUUACUCCCUCCGUCCUAAAAUAAAUGACUUAAGUUUGUACUAACUUGGUACUAGAGGGAGUAUGAUAUUUUAGGUGGAUUUAGUUACGUGAUUGUGAUCUUGGGGAGAUAGUUAACGAUGGUCGAUGGAUUAUGACCUUUUAGGUCUAGUGUGAGCAUGACUACUAUUAUGUUGGUAGAUAAACAUAUAUUCAAUUAAUUUGGAUUUAGCUAGGUGAUUGAUCUUGAAGCAAAUUUGACGAAGGAUUAUAAGUUUUUGGUGGAUUUAGUUAGGUGAUUGUGGUCUUGAGGAGCUGUAUAAAAUAUUUGGUGGACUAUGAGAUUGUAGGUCUAGCACGUGAGCAAUGUGAUUAUUAUAUUAAUGGAUAAACAAAUCUUCAAUUAAUCUUGGAACACUUUGGAUUUAUUUAGGUGAUUGUGUUCGGUUGAUUAUGAGAUUUUAGGUCUAGUACAUGAGCAUGGUGAUCAUUAUAUUGGUGGAUAUACAGAUUAUUCAAUUAAUUUUGGAACACAUUAGAUUUAGUUAUGUGAUUGUGAUCGUGAAGCAGAUUUAUCAGUGAAUUAUGAGAUUUUAGGUAGAUUUAGUUAGGUGAUUGUGAUCUUGAGAAGAUAGUCAAAGAUGUUCGGGAGAUUAUGAGAUCUUAGGCCUAUUAGGUGAGCAUGGUGAUUAUUAUAUUAUCGAAUAAACAAAUCUUCAAGGAAUUUUGCAACAAUUUAUAUUUAGUUAGGUGCUUGUGAUCUUGAACAAAAAUGCACGGUGAAUUACAAAAUUUUACGCUGAUUUAGGUAGGUGAUUAUAAUCUUGAGAAGAUGUUAGGUGGAUUAUGAGUUUUUAGGGUUAAAGGAUGAGCAUGAUGAUUAUUAUAUUAUUGGAUAAACACAUAUUUAGUUAAAUCUUGGAACAAUUUAGAGUUUAUUAGGUGAUUGUGAUCUUCAACUAAAUUUCAUGGUGGAUUAUAAGAUUAUUGGUGGAUUUAGUUAGGUGAAGCACGUGAGUAAUGUGAUUAUUAUAUUGAUGGAUAAACAAAUCUUCAAUUAAUCUUGGAACACUUUGGAUUUAGUUAGGUGAUUGUGUUCGGUUGAUUAUGAGAUUUUAGGUCUAGUACGUGAGCAUGGUGAUCAUUAUAUUGGUGGAUAUACAGAUUAUUCAAUUAAUUUUGGAACACAUUAGAUUUAGUUAUGUGAUUGUGAUCGUGAAGCAGAUUUAUCAGUGAAUUAUGAGAUUUUAGGUAGAUUUAGUUAGGUGAUUGUGAUCUUGAGAAGAUAGUCAAAGAUGUUCGGGAGAUUAUGAGAUCUUAGGCCUAUUAGGUGAGCAUGGUGAUUAUUAUAUUAUCGAAUAAACAAAUCUUCAAGGAAUUUUGCAACAAUUUAUAUUUAGUUAGGUGCUUGUGAUCUUGAACAAAAAUGCACGGUGACUUACAAAAUUUUACGUUGAUUUAGGUAGGUGAUUAUAAUCUUGAGAAGAUGUUAGGUGGAUUAUGAGUUUUUAAGGUUAAAGGAUGAGCAUGAUGAUUAUUAUAUUAUUGGAUAAACACAUAUUUAGUUAAAUCUUGGAACAAUUUAGAGUUUAUUAGGUGAUUGUGAUCUUCAACUAAAUUUCAUGGUGGAUUAUAAGAUUAUUGGUGGAUUUAGUUAGGUGAUUGUGCUAUUGAGUAGACACUCAAAGAUGUUUGAUGGAUUAUGAGAUUUUAGGCUAGUAAGUGAGCAUGACUAUUAUUCUAUUGGUGGAUAAACAGAUCUUUAACUAAUCUUGGAGCAAUUUUGAUUUAGUUACAUGAUUGUGAUCUUGAACCAAUUUCACAAUGGAUUAUGAGAUUUUAGAUGGAUUUAGUUAGGUAAUUGUGGUCUUGAGGAGAUGGUCAAAGAUGUUUGGUGUAUUAUGUGAUUUUAGGUAUAGUAUGGGCAUGCCUACUUUUAUAUUGGUGGAUUAACAUAUAUUCAAUUAAUCUUGGAAGAAUUUGGAUUUACUUAUGUGAUUGUGAUCUUGAAGCAAAUUUGACGAUGGAUUACGAGUUUUUGGUGGAUUUAGUUUGUCGAUUGUCAUCUUGAGGAGAUAGUUAAAGAUCUUCGAUGGAUUAUGAGAUUUUAAGUCUAGUAUGAGCAUGGCUAUAUUAUAUUGGUGGAUAAACAUAUAUUUUGCUAAUCUUGAAACAAUUUGGAUUCAGUUAGGUGAUUGUCAUCUUGAAGCAAAUUUGACGUUGGAUUAUGAGUUUUUGGUGGAUCUACUUAAGUGAUUGUGAUUUUGAGGAGAUAGUCAAAGAUGUUCGGUGGAUUAUGAGAUUUUAGGUCUAGUAUGAGCAUGACUAUUAUUAUAUUGGUGGAUAAACAUAUUUUUAAUUAAUCUUGAAAUAAUUUGGAUUUAGUUAGGUGAUUUUGAUCUUGAAGCAAAGUUUAUGAUGGAUUAUGAGUUUUUGAUCGAUUUAAUUAGUUGAUUGUGAUCUUGAGGAGAUAGUAAAAAAUGUUUGGUGGAUUGUGAGAUUUGAUUAUUUUAUUAGUGGAUAAACAGAUUUUUAAUUAUUUUUGAGGAAUUUGGAUUUAGUUAGGUGAUUAUGAUCUUGAACCCAAUUUUACGAUGGAUUAUGAGAUUUUAGCUGGAUCAGUUAGGUGAUUGUGGGCUUGAGGAGAUAGUCAAAGAUGUUUGGUGGAGUAUGAGAUUUUAGGUCUACACCUAGUUUCAAUGGAUAUGCUGCCGACCUUCGGCACGGCUGGUUUCGAAUGCGCCGAGGGCUUGGAGUAUCACAACAGAUUCUUGUACAUUCUUACUACAGAUACGAUUAACAUGAGAGAUAAACCAACUCCGAAUCUGAAGAGCAAUGGAUGUCGAAUCAUCAACUAGCUCCGGCCUGUAGCUUGUUCAGCACCAUAAGACAAUCUGAAGCCAGAAUCAUCACUCGCCAGUAGCCUUCUGGUAGAGCAAAAUGCAAAGUCAGAGGGCAUCAAGCAAAACAAGGCCCGGAGUAUAUACUGCAGCAUCCUAGUGAGGCAUGACGCUGCUGGAAGGUCCUGUAUUGAGAACACGAUACAACAUUAUGUGAAGUCCAAGGCUGAUUGGUGGACAAAUGUCGUGAGCAUAUCCGGCGUGGUGCUACAGUUGACAAGACUGUCUGCCGCCAAAAUCUUGGAAGGUUAACUCAUUUGUGGCUGAAGGCAGAACAAGUGAGACAACACAACUACUUGAAAGAUGGGUCAUAUGUGACACCUGAAGAAGCAGGUUCUGUUUAUCCAACUAUUUCCCGUGCACAUCUUUGGCACAAGGUCCAUGAAAAUGUUGCUAUGAAUCUUUGACAAGUUCUGGUUCAGGAGGAUGUGCUGGAGAUUGAGACAGUACAGAAGGAGACAAUACAUCCAAGGAAGAGUUGCAAGAUGAACAGUUCAUGUGCAGAUGUUGUUUUUGCUGCACAUAGGGGCAGAUGUCCAAACCAAGCUUAGUUUCUGAGUCAAAGGAUGUCUUCGAUCAGAAAGCCAGUAACAAGCACUGGAUUCAUGUGCAACCAAGAUGGGGAGAUUACGAUUCACACGACAUAGAAUGUUACGCAAGAGCAAAAUUUAUGGACUACAUGACAGAUAAUUUGUCCAUCUACCGUUCUCCGACUGGGGUGAUGAUUGGACUUGAUCUAGCUUAUAAUUUGCACUCUGCUUUUGGUAAUUGGUUCCCCGGGUUAAAGCCCCUCCUUCAGCAAGCAAUGAACAAGAUCGAUGUAAAAUCAUGUUCUGUAUGUGCUGAGGGAGAGAAUAGGAAAGGGUCUUGAGUUGUAUUCACAGAACUACGGCACGGAGAGAUAUUCAGCAAUCAAAUCAUAUGGUUUGUGGAUGACACAGAUGUCUAUCGAGGAGUUACCAUUCACAAAACCGAGGGUAACCUGACGGCCAAACCAAUCAAUGGUGCUAUCUUUAUUUUCAAUCCAAGAACUGGUGAACCAACUAUUUCUGAAGGUCAUCCACACAAGUGUAUGGGCAGGAAAAAACCGUCUAGGGCAGGACAAAGCUAAUUAUUGUGGCAAGGAAGGGUAUGUUGGAUCCCUUGGAAGUCAAAGCAAAUUAUUGUGACAAGGAAGGGUAUGAGCAAGCAGCAUUUGCAUCGAAGACAGAUUUGCGUGUCAGGGCCAUCUCUGCUAUGAACCUGUAUCUCCGGGUCAACCACAUUUAUGUUAACUCGGAUGAUAUAAAGGGGACUGGCUAUACUUACAUCACGCCAAAGAAUAUAUUGAAGAAUUUGAUAUGCAUAGCAGAUCUACGGACACAGGUUGCAGGUUUCCUGUAUGGGCUGAGUCCACAGGAUAAUCCUCAAGUCAAGGAGAUGAGAUUAUCCAUUCCGCCACAGCAUGGAAGUCACCAAAUGGUGAAUUUGCUAGCGAAUCUCCCAGAGCACGAGUUCCUUGCUGACUUGGAGCCAUUGGGAGCCAGCCGAAUGAAGCUCCUCAGGAUUUGGCAUGACAUGCUAGAAUUUUGGAGAAGAACAAGGCGUGGCAUGGUGAAAAGUGCAUCAUUUUGACCCGCCGGUGAACAUCGUGGUCAGUGGUUAUGUUUGCGAGAAGAAAAAAACCUAUCGUGAUUGGAGCACUGAUCUUAUGCACAACCCUUCACGACAGUUCCGAGCCUCGUUGCGUGCGCACGUCCCAUGGAAACCGACACCUGACAGCAAUAGCAGUGGAUGUUUCUUCUUCCUUGUGACUAGAGUUGUUUUGACAGUAACUUGGAUUAUGAGGCACAGGCAUCAUUAGGCCAGCAGUCUGAAGGUAGAGGAAGGUGCAUAGCAGCACAUGAUCCGUCCUGUACCAGCAAUGGAGAGGAAAUCUAUAGCAAUGGAAGAGAGGAGAUUUAGUGUACUACCAUCCAUCCAUGGGAUCCAUCCAAUGCUACCAUUGUGUUGUGUAAUGAGUCAAUAUUUCAGUAUCAUCCUCACACACAAAAAGAUGCUUCAGCAUUAUAUUACGUUGUAAUAGAUGAAUGUACGUUUAGUAGUAGGCAUCGCACUAAACCCACAUAUCCCACUUAAUAAUAUGUUGGUUUUGACAGGCAUCCCAUGCCAGAGACCUGACAUCGCCUGAGAGGCGGCGAGCGGAGAAGGCUGCGAAGGGGCUAGGGACGGUCAUGUACCUCAGCUGAUGGGGCCCAAAUUAGGAGCACUAGUAGCUGGGGUGUUGAGUUCAUUGCAGCUUAUGCUUAUGUUAUGUGACAAUCCCCACAUGAUCGGUUGUAAACAUACCAUGAUGAAAAUUUCGGCUAUGAGUUUA